UGAGUAACCUGCCCUUAACUCUGGGAUAAGCCUGGGAAACUGGGUCUAAUACCGGAUAUGACUCCUCAUCGCAUGGUGGGGGGUGGAAAGCUUUAUUGUGGUUUUGGAUGGACUCGCGGCCUAUCAGCUUGUUGGUGAGGUAAUGGCCUACCAAGGCGACGACGGGUAGCCGGCCUGAGAGGGCGACCGGCCACAUUGGGACUGAGACACGGCCCAGACUCCUACGGGAGGCAG
RNAcentral lists this ribosomal RNA (234 nucleotides) under uncultured bacterium. RNAcentral describes it as "partial 16S ribosomal RNA". It matches the Rfam family "Bacterial small subunit ribosomal RNA", at positions 118 to 351 of the family's 1533-position model. The record is from RNAcentral.